This 841-nucleotide small RNA is filed under the name Pongo abelii (Sumatran orangutan). Its description in RNAcentral is "retained intron". Lineage: Eukaryota; Metazoa; Chordata; Mammalia; Primates; Hominidae. The record is from RNAcentral.
AGAGCCGCGCAACGCCGCCGCCUUAGAACGCCUUUCCAGUACUGCUAGCAGCAGCCCGACCACGCGUUACCGCACGCUCGCGCCUUUCCCUUGACACGGCGGACGCCGGAGGAUUGGGGCGGCAAUUUGUCUUUUCCUUUUUUAUUAAAAUUAUUUUUCCUGCCUGUUGUUGGAUUUGGGGAAAUUUUUUGUUUGUUUUUUGUGAUUUGUAUUUGACUGAGAGAAACCCACUGAAGACGUCUGCGUGAGAACAGAGACCACCGAGGCCGACUCGCGGACCGGUGCACCCACCGCCAAGGACAAAAGGAGCCCAGCGCUACUAGCUGCACCCGAUUCCUCCCAGUGCUUAGCAUGAAGAAGGCCGAAAUGGGACGGUUCAGUAUUUCCCCGGAUGAAGACAGCAGCAGCUACAGUUCCAACAGCGACUUCAACUACUCCUACCCCACCAAGCAAGCUGCUCUGAAAAGGUGGGAGAAGUUGUGACACUUUUGAAAAAACGGCCUGCAUGGGUUGGGUUCGGGGAGUUGCCUAGGACUCUGCUUCCAUUGCUUUAAUUUGCUAUAGCAUUUAGAGAAGGUGCGUAAUCUCUGAAAGAGUAUCCGAUUAUCUUGUUGUAAUGACAAGAUAGCUGGUGUGAAAGUCAACUCCUAGUUAAUAUUUAUACAUUUAAGUAAAGAUGUAUCAGAACUAUGCUGUUGGGUAUUUUAUGUUAAAGCAGUCUUGUGUGUAAUGAUAGACAUUUCAAUCCAGUUUACAAUUAUAUGUGUCUAUAUUUUUUGCAGCCAUUAUGCAGAUGUAGAUCCUGAAAACCAGAACUUUUUACUUGAAUCGAAUUUGGGGA